RNAcentral lists this ribosomal RNA (438 nucleotides) under uncultured bacterium. RNAcentral describes it as "partial 16S ribosomal RNA". It matches the Rfam family "Bacterial small subunit ribosomal RNA", at positions 29 to 507 of the family's 1533-position model. The record is from RNAcentral.
AACGAACGCUGGCGGCAUGCCUAACACAUGCAAGUCGAACGAGACCUUCGGGUCUAGUGGCGCACGGGUGCGUAACGCGUGGGAACCUGCCCUUAGGUUCGGAAUAACUCCCCGAAAGGGGUGCUAAUACCGGAUAAUGUCUUCGGACCAAAGAUUUAUCGCCUUUGGAUGGGCCCGCGUUGGAUUAGCUAGUUGGUAGGGUAAAAGCCUACCAAGGCGACGAUCCAUAGCUGGUCUGAGAGGAUGAUCGGCCAAACUGGGACUGAGACACGGCACAGACGCCGACGGGAGGCAGCAGGGGGGACGGUGGCAGUAUGGGAGGAAGCCGGAUGAAGCAUCGAUGCGUGCGGGAAGAAGGACUUCGGGGGGGAAACCGCUUUCGCCUGUGACGAAGCGUGAGGGACGGGAAUGGGUAAAGAAGCAACGACUAACUAGGUG